GUGCCAGCCGCCGCGGUAAUACGAAGGGGGCUAGCGUUGCUCGGAAUGACUGGGCGUAAAGGGCGCGUAGGCGGUUCGUACAGUCAGACGUGAAAUUCCCGGGCUCAACCUGGGGGCUGCGUUUGAUACGUACGGGCUUGAGUUCGGAAGAGGGUCGUGGAAUUCCCAGUGUAGAGGUGAAAUUCGUAGAUAUUGGGAAGAACACCGGUGGCGAAGGCGGCGACCUGGUCCGAUACUGACGCUGAGGCGCGAAAGCGUGGGGAGCAAACAGGAUUAGAAACCCGCGUAGUCC
Molecule: ribosomal RNA, 292 nt
Filed under: uncultured bacterium
Lineage: Bacteria
Description: partial 16S ribosomal RNA
Rfam family: Bacterial small subunit ribosomal RNA
Source: RNAcentral